Molecule: non-coding RNA, 3688 nt
Filed under: Pongo abelii (Sumatran orangutan)
Lineage: Eukaryota; Metazoa; Chordata; Mammalia; Primates; Hominidae
Source: RNAcentral
GGGAUCCGGUGUGUCAGUGAGAUGGCUGUGCCCUUGGGCUGCUGUGUCCCAGGUUUCCUCAGUCUCUAACCCUUUGUUCUCACAGGGGAUGGACUCUUGCUUCUUUUCCCAACUCCACCAAGAGGGACCGUCCCAGGACGUCCUUCCCCGGGCAUCCGGCCCUACAGCUGCCUGAGGUCUCCAUCACCAUUGGUGCCAUCAGUCUGCUGUGCAGCCAGCUCUUGGUUUGGAGAGCCUGAAGAAUUGCAGUUCACGUCUCAUCUAAAGGAGCUGAAAUGAUAUUGCAGCUUUUUCUUUUGGUUGUGUGCGGUGAGAAUCUGGGAGCUGAACCUGUUAUCUGCACGGUCUUCAGAAAUCAGGCAAACUCGGAAAAUGCCAAUGCCAAAAAUGCUGAUGAGUGACAAAGUGUCACAGGUGUGAUGCAUUACAAAUCUCAGGACUUUUGCUCACUGGAUUUGAAAGGUCAAGCUUCACAGGAAAAUGAUGAAAUCCCAAAAGACCAGAAAUAUAUUUCAGAAGAUGCCAGUUAAUGCUUUAAAAUGUCAAACCAACAUUUCAGAAAUAACUUUCAAUGGAGGCAGGAAUGAUUAUUUCCUUCCAAGAAGGUGAACGCUGGAGACCUUCAUGGUGGAAGACGGAGGGCAUCUUUCCUUCCGUUAAGCUGACAACUUGGCUUCCAUCUUGUGAGGACCUCACCCUACCUGGCGGUGGAGGAUAUCUGACGCCCUCAAUCAUUGCCAUUACACUUCCCAGCCUGGUGGUCAGUCUCCUGGGGUCUGUGUGUUAACAAACCGUCGACUGGACAAUCGCAGUUUUCCUUACAAAGGCUUACUUUAAAAAGGCUCUGGAUUUUCAGAAGCGAAGUCGCUUUCAUCCCCGAUUCAGACCCAUCCUAGUGGAGGAAAAAUCCUACCAGAAGAAGGGCUGACCAUAGGAACUUGCCAUUUCCUUGACCCCAUCAUAUCUGAGGAAAAAACAACAGAAAAGGUCAAAACCCACGUGUACCCCCAACGUCCUGAUUGACGACUUUGCCUGCAGCUUCUGCUUUCCUGAAAUUCGCUGCUGCCUUUAGAACCCUUCUCUGCAGCCAGUGGGGAGUUCAGGACUUAGGCGGAGCUGCCCCACCCUCCUGCUUGGCACCCUGCAAACACAUGCCCUCCCUUCCAUCGCUGCAGACCUCAGAGUGGGCAUCCGGUCUCCCAUGCGGGAAGAGAAUACACGCCCUUCCUUCAAUCGCUGCAGACCUCACAGUGGACGUCCGGUCUCCUGUGUGGGAUGAGAAUACACUCCUUCCCUUCUAUCACUGCAGACCUCACAGUGGACGUCCGGUCUCCUGUGUGGGAUGAGAUACACUCCUUCCCUUCCAUCGCUGCAGACCUCACAGUGGACGUCCGGUCUCCUGUGUGGGAUGAGAAUACACUCCUUCCCUUCUAUCACUGCAGACCUCACAGUGGACGUCCAGUCUCCUGUGUGGGAUGAGAUACACUCCUUCCCUUCCAUCGCUGCAGACCUCACAGUGGACGUCCGGUCUCCUGUGUGGGAUGAGAAUACACGCCCUCCCUUCCAUCACUGCAGACCUCAGAGUGGACGUCCGGUCUCCCGUGCGGGAUGAGAUACACUCCUUCCCUUCUAUCACUGCAGACCUCACAGUGGACGUCCGGUCUCCUGUGUGGGAUGAGAUACACUCCUUCCCUUCCAUCGCUGCAGACCUCACAGUGGACGUCCGGUCUCCUGUGCGGGCCAAGUGUACACAGUUUUGUUCCAUCACAAUUUCCAUGUCAGGCCAGUGUGAGGUUUUUGAGCUGGUGCUGACUGAAAACUGUCAGCUGCCCAAGGACCUGGGAGCUCUGCUCCCCACUCCUGGUGUGCGGCCUUGUACCUGGCCUCCCUGCCUAGGUUACAUGCAGUGGUCAUCCCGGUCACUCCCACACCCCUGUGGGCUCUGGGAUCCUCCCUUCCAGCCAGUCCAGGGGACAUCUGGCUGUCUCAGGACCUGGCCAUCUGUAAAAAUUAGGCAGGUCCCUUUAGUAUGCUCCUGGUCAACAAAGAAAAACUUCAAUUUUGAGAAUGGCGUCUGUAUUCCGAAGUGUUCUCUCAGAUGUUUGAGUUCCACUAAGUAGAUUUUCUUAGUCUGCUUUAUCAAUGACACAGAGAGACGUGCAUUAAAACCUCAACCAUGUUGAUCUAUUUCUUUUCAGUUAAUUUUGCUUCAUGUAUCUUGAAGCUCUGUUAUCAGGUGCAUGCACGUUUGAGAUUGUUAUGCUUUCCUGAUGAACUGACCUUCUUUCAUUAUGAAAGGGGAAGAAGAUGCUGCAUACAGGAUGGGAUAUCCAGGGGAAGAUUUCUAAGGAGAGACGCCCAGCUGGAAGUCAAAAUGUGUCAGUUGUUUGCAUUAUAAUAAAACCACUCAUGUUAGAUGAGCUGAACUUUCCCUUUUCCCCAGUUCUUAUGAUCAAAAAGUGGCUGUCCUAAAUUUCAUCACUUAAUAUCCUUGCUAGAGUCUUCCUUUGUCAGCCAGGCUGGAGUGCAAUGGCGCAAUCUGGGCUCACUGCAACCUCUGUCUCCCGGGCUCAAGCAAUUCUUCUGCCUCAGCCUCCUGAGUAGCUGGGAUUAUAGGGCGCUGGGUGCCCUUCCAGGGUGACCUCGCGGGUGCCCACUGCAGUUCCUGCUUCUCCCCAUGGGAACUGAGCGUGCCGCUGGGAACACAGCACUCACUGUGCACAGCUCUGCACAUGUACUUAUGUGGACACCACCCGCUUGCAUUCAUUCUCUCCUCCUCAUCUCUCCCUUGCUGAGAGGCAGCGAGCCUGCCGAACGCUUCGUGCUGUUUCUGCAAUGCUCACGUGCGGUCACACAGUUAGACGGCCGGCCACAUGACGGAUGGAUGACAAGACGCAGUGCAGACUGGGCGUGGCUGACCACCACACGUGCCCCUGGAGCCAUGGGCCGCCGGCUUCAUUUCCAGGGCAGUGUUACAAUCAAAAGAAUGAACAUAGAGUGAUUUAAAGUCCAACCCCUUCCCUGUGUUUUCUGCACAGCUUGGAGGCCGCGCCCAGGUCCUGGACGCUCCUGGUGACUUUUCCUCUUUGCCCUUUGCUCUCCUGCUUGGAGCUCCAUGCUGCUCCCUCCUGUUGUACUGAACCUGGCCCUCGUCGCCCCUGACGAGGGAAGUCCCUGUCCUCUCACGGCUUCCUUUUUAUCCCCAUCCCUCAGACUCUUCCUAAUAAUUAUACAAUACUAAUUCCAAACGGAAACUGGAGGCACGGAGCCUAUGCCGGCGUCUCCAGCUUCUCCAGAGGUAGGAAUGGACACUCAGGUCUCCACUGCAUACUGAUGGAUUUGGGAGAGCGUGAUCCAUCCAAGCCAUGCGAAAAUCUGCACGACUGAGUCAUGGGACAGUGGAGCUUCGUGAUAUCGCGUGCUUUUAAAUCCGAAAGGACAGUCAUGAUUUAAGGAUUUGAAAGUCACACAUUUAACAUCUGGAUUCACAGUCGUAGGUCUUAAACCAUGAUAGCUCGUGCUUCUGAGGGGCACUGAAUUCAUGCGUGGCUUUCCUAGACUUUAUCCCAUGGAACCUUCAUGCGUCAGGCUAUGUAGAGCCCUGAAUCUCAAAGGGAGAGCUUGGUCCCAGCAAGUCUCAUUAUUUUGUAUUAUAUUUUAAUAGUUUAUUUUCCCUCUUGCUUCUUCA